This 492-nucleotide ribosomal RNA is filed under the name uncultured bacterium. RNAcentral describes it as "partial 16S ribosomal RNA". It matches the Rfam family "Bacterial small subunit ribosomal RNA", at positions 28 to 507 of the family's 1533-position model. The record is from RNAcentral.
GAUGAACGCUAGCUACAGGCUUAACACAUGCAAGUCGAGGGGAAACGGCAUUGAGUGCUUGCACUCUUUGGACGUCGACCGGCGCACGGGUGAGUAACGCGUAUCCAACCUUCCCAUUACUGUGGGAUAACCUGCCGAAAGGCAGACUAAUACCGCAUAGUCUUCGAUGACGGCAUCAGAUUUGAAGUAAAGAUUUAUCGGUAAUGGAUGGGGAUGCGUCUGAUUAGCUUGUUGGCGGGGUAACGGCCCACCAAGGCUACGAUCAGUAGGGGUUCUGAGAGGAAGGUCCCCCACAUGGGAACUGGGACACGGUCCAAACUCCUACGGGAGGCAGCAGUGAGGAAUAUUGGUCAAUGGACGGAAGUCUGAACCAGCCAAGUAGCGUGCAGGAGGACGGCCCUAUGGGUUGUAAACUGCUUUUGGAGGGGGAUAAAGUUAGGGACGUGUCCCUAUUUGCAGGUACCAUACGAAUAAGGACCGGCUAAUUCCGUG